GUUCAUCAGACUGCUUCUAUCAUUCAGUUGACCACGGAACAAAGAUCAAGGUGAAAAUAGUUAAAUCGUGAGAGAUCUCAACCUUCUCGAUGGACCCUUCAAGCAAACAUUUUGAGGUGGAAUCUUUUGACCCAAACUGUCUGCUGCCAGUGAAAGCUAAAUUAAGUCAACAAGGAUUGCUGGACUUACACCUAAAGGCCAAUCUUGACUUCUCUAUCCAAGCCAUUGCGGCUCUUCCUGCACCCAGGCGGCAUCAUGAAGUCUAAUGGAAUGGAGACAAAUUUCUAUUGUUAAUCACUACAGGGAUCCCUAUACAGUCUACAUGGGACCAAACGGGCCACAGUCUCGACUCACAACCGGCAGCCUGUCAGAAAGCCACUUUGCUGGGGAUCAUUGUCAUGAUGAAACUGAGAGCUGCAUGAAACAAGACAAAGAAGCAGUGAGUAAGUCUGACAAAAUCCCUUUAUUUCUGGAACAACUGGAGCUUAAGAUCUCCUGUGGAGAGUUGCAUCUCACAUACAGUACCAAUCAUCCCCUACAUACCAUCCACAUCCAGCCACACCGAGUCUAUCUGGGAAAAAGAGACAAAGACACAUAUGAAGAAGGGUGGAGAGAUGGGGAAAAGCCUGUUGCAUGUUUCAGAAUCUGCUGCUGACCUCUGAAGGCUACUGGGGUGCCGAUAGCCGAAUCAUACUUCAAGGUGAUGGAUAGAUGGUGGAGUUUAUCAUUUUAGACCCAAACAGACAUGAAACCGUGCAUUUCAUCUUCACCGAUGCCUAUAACAAU
Triplophysa rosa is the source of this 786-nucleotide long non-coding RNA. RefSeq lists it as uncharacterized. The transcript has 3 exons. The record is from RefSeq and is a predicted model, not a curated record. NCBI's taxonomy places the organism in Eukaryota, Metazoa, Chordata, Actinopteri, Cypriniformes, Nemacheilidae.